RNAcentral lists this ribosomal RNA (384 nucleotides) under uncultured bacterium. RNAcentral describes it as "bacterial SSU rRNA". It matches the Rfam family "Bacterial small subunit ribosomal RNA", at positions 30 to 416 of the family's 1533-position model. The record is from RNAcentral.
AUUGAACGCUGGCGGCAUGCCUUACACAUGCAAGUCGAACGGCAGCGGACCUUCGGGUGCCGGCGAGUGGCGAACGGGUGAGUAAUAUAUCGGAACGUACCUUUCAGUGGGGGAUAACGUAGCGAAAGUUACGCUAAUACCGCAUAUUCUGUGAGCAGGAAAGCAGGGGAUCGCAAGACCUUGCGCUGAUUGAGCGGCCGAUAUCAGAUUAGCUAGUUGGUGAGGUAAAGGCUCACCAAGGCGACGAUCUGUAGCGGGUCUGAGAGGAUGAUCCGCCACACUGGAACUGAGACACGGUCCAGACUCCUACGGGUGGCAGCAGUGGGGAAUUUUGGACAAUGGGCGCAAGCCUGAUCCAGCCAUGCCGCGUGAGUGAAGAAGGCC